AUGGUAGACGUCCUAAGAUGGAUUGAACAGAUGAUAAGGAAGCUUCUCGAUCGGAUCCACAUUCCGUUUUCUUGACAUCUAUCCCACGUCUUCCUCCAUGAAAAAAUUGAGUCACUCUUAUUGAUCUCACUCUCAGAAAUUCAUGUGAUGUGGACAUAAGAUUAGUGUCAGAGACUCAAGGGUUUGGAAAUGGAUUGUGUUAGGU
Molecule: long non-coding RNA, 205 nt
Filed under: Carica papaya (papaya)
Lineage: Eukaryota; Viridiplantae; Streptophyta; Magnoliopsida; Brassicales; Caricaceae
Description: long non-coding RNA (CPAP_LNC013266)
Source: RNAcentral